This 253-nucleotide small RNA is filed under the name uncultured bacterium. RNAcentral describes it as "contains 16S-23S intergenic spacer region". It matches the Rfam family "Bacterial small subunit ribosomal RNA", at positions 524 to 776 of the family's 1533-position model. The record is from RNAcentral.
UACGGAGGGUGCAAGCGUUACUCGGAAUCACUGGGCGUAAAGAGCGCGUAGGCGGGAUAGCAAGUCAGAUGUGAAAUCCUAUGGCUUAACCAUAGAACUGCAUUUGAAACUGUUAUUCUAGAGUAUGGGAGAGGUAGGUGGAAUUCUUGGUGUAGGGGUAAAAUCCGUAGAGAUCAAGAGGAAUACUCAUUGCGAAGGCGACCUGCUAGAACAUAACUGACGCUGAUGCGCGAAAGCGUGGGGAGCAAACAGG